AAAACUCAUUCCCACACUUGGACAUAUUUGGACUAACAUUGACUUCAACUUGCCCUAACACUAUUCAACCAAACCUCCCUUUCUCCUCUUUCGACUAAUACCGUCCUCCUCUUCGUUCUCCAGCUCCAACCAGAACCCGACCCUCCUCGUCCUCCUUCUUUUCUGCGUCGGACCAGCUCCUCUGCUUGAAGACGGUGAACAUAAUCCGAGUUUGAGGCCGGUGAUUUGGAGAAAAUUUGAGCUUUUCUUUCAUAGUAUCUUCAGAGAGGUAGCAACUGCAAGUAGCACAACAGAAAGAAAAAGGCAAAUCAAAACGUGGGAAGGGCAAAAGCUUUACUUUGCAGCAACUGCAAGUAGCUCGUGAGGAAUAUGAUGAGGAAGCUACAUUGUGUGUUUUCCGGUUGAAGUCCCUGAAGCAAGGGCAAGCCCAAAGUAUUCUAACACAAGCAGCUCGCCACCAUGCUGCUCAGUUGAACUUCUUUCGGAAAGGACUCAAGUCACUUGAGGCUAUCGAGCCACAUGUUACGUUGGUUACAGAGGAGGAAGGUGAUGAGAGUGUUCGCAGGGUUCAGAUGAUGAGGAAGGUGAUGAGAGUGGUCAUGCAACCGGGAGUCAGAAUGAGAACCCCGGUGUCAAUCCCAAAUCUUCAGGAAACUCGAAAACUGGUAUAUCUUUAUUGUUAGUGCUUUGAAUUUUGAGUCUCAAAUGAUCUGAGAAAAGGGAAUGUAGAAAGAUGUUGAUUCUUUUUGGUACCAUUAUAUGGUUCAUUUGAAGAACAUAACAGAGGAUUAUUACAAAGAGUGAUUAGUUAACUCUGUGUGUAACGUUGUCUAAAUUAUAAGGACUCUCAACGCCUGUUAAUUAAACUUUAAAGGGUUCAUUUUCAAGACCAUGUUACUUUGACCCAUGUGUCUUUUGCAUCCCACCACAAGCCACCGACUAUUUGUUCACACACAUUUAUACUAUUUCAGUUGAAGAUUUCUUCUACUACACUAAUACUAUGAUUGCUCUCUCUUUUUCAUAUUCCUUCCGUAUCUCAAUUGCCAACACAUUUUUCCUUGUACUUUUAGAUUCAGUAUAUAUAACUUGCUAGCUUAGCUAGAGAGAAACAUUAAGUCUUAGUUCCUAAGUUGACAACUUCACUACACACACAAACUGAUCAACUAUACACAGAAGAAGUGAUCAAGAAGUAGACUGCAGUAGUAGUAAUGGCAGAUUGGGGACCGGUGGUGAUAGCGGUGGUGUUGUUUGUGCUGUUAAGUCCAGGGCUACUGUUUCAACUGCUGGGGAAGAGCAGAGUGGUGGAGUUUGGCAACAUGCAAACCAGCGGACUAUAGUUGUAUUAUAUGCUCUUAAGAACCUGUGCCUCUGUUUCUAGUGACAAAUAUGUCCAAUUUUGUUUCCACUGCCACUUAUUUACUUCUUUCUUUUUAUUUAGAUGACUAUGGUAGUAAUCUAAUUUUGUAGGUAGAAUCCAUCUCCCUUGAUGAAGCUGCAAGGUUAUUACUUGGGGAUGCACACAAUGCAUAUGUAAUGAGAACUAAAGUAAGGCGGAUUUAUGAUAUUGCAAAUGUUUCGUCCUCCAUGAAUCUUAUUGAAAAGACCCACGCAGUAGAUACAAGGAAGCCUACAGAUAAAUGGUUGGGAUUGAGAGGAAAAGAUGCUACGAGCUCAGCUUCAGACGAGUCUAGAAAAAGAGCCUUUGGAACAGUUAUCACAAACGUUGUAAGAGAGGCAAAGUAGAAUCUUCUACUGCUGGGAAAUUGGAAGCUCAGAAACAAAAGCAACAUGAGAGUAUAGUACGGCAACGUGAGAGUAUAGUACGGCAACGUGAGAGCAUAGUACGUAAGGUUGAUAGGAACAAUUCAGAGGACUCGAAAGAAAAUACAAAGAGCUACCAGUUUGGCCCUUUUGCCCCAGUUACUAUUGCCAGAGCUGGGAAUUUCAACAUGAAGAAGGUUGACUGGGACAAUUUGUCCUCUACGUACUUACCGUCCCUAGUAUCAUAAUCAAGGUAUCAUCAUCUUAUACUUCAGCCUGAUGUGCAGGUAUAUGAUAAGACAUACAAGGUUUAUAUAUAUGGACGCAAGAAAAAGUGAAACUAUUACUAAGCUACUUGGUUUGUAGAUUACUUGAUUAAUUGAAGAGCAAUGCUCUCUUCAGUACUUGCCUUACAAUUUCAAACAUUCUUUCUUGUUCAAUGUAGAUUAUUUCUUUACAAAAAGGGUUCUCAAUUUAGUCACUGUGUUAGUGUUCUGAAUUUAAUGAUGUUCUAUUAUUGUUCUGUAUCUCUAUUUAACUAGUUGGUGGUUGGUUACUUGAUACAUAAAUAACAAUAUUACCAGUCUUUGCUUAUGCUUA
RNA transcript from Rosa chinensis, 2361 nucleotides. It is a transcript of the gene named E2F transcription factor-like E2FE, with no coding region annotated. The transcript has 5 exons. The record is from RefSeq and is a predicted model, not a curated record. Lineage: Eukaryota; Viridiplantae; Streptophyta; Magnoliopsida; Rosales; Rosaceae.